UACAGAGGUCUCAAGCGUUGUUCGGAUUUAUUGGGCGUAAAGGGCGCGUAGGCGGCCACGCAAGUCCUGGGUGAAAUCCCUCGGCUCAACCGAGGAACUGCCUCGGAAACUGCAUGGCUCGAGGCCGGGAGAGGGUAGCGGAAUUCCCAGUGUAGCGGUGAAAUGCGUAGAUAUUGGGAGGAACACCGGUGGCGAAGGCGGCUACCUGGACCGGUUCUGACGCUGAUGCGCGAAAGCGUGGGGAGCAAACAGG
Molecule: ribosomal RNA, 253 nt
Filed under: uncultured bacterium
Lineage: Bacteria
Description: partial 16S ribosomal RNA
Rfam family: Bacterial small subunit ribosomal RNA
Source: RNAcentral